This 463-nucleotide ribosomal RNA is filed under the name uncultured bacterium. RNAcentral's name for it is "partial 16S ribosomal RNA". It matches the Rfam family "Bacterial small subunit ribosomal RNA", at positions 28 to 507 of the family's 1533-position model. The record is from RNAcentral.
GAUGAACGCUGACAGAAUGCUUAACACAUGCAAGUCUUUGGCGAAGCUGUGCUUGCACAGCCUAGCCAAGGCGGACGGGUGAGUAACGCGUAAGGAACUUGCCCUGCAGUCAGGGAUAACAGACGGAAACGACUGAUAAGACCUGGUAAAGUCAGGCGGACUCAUGUCCAGCCUGAUGAAAAGUGAUGCUGCAGGAGAGCCUUGCGUCCUAUUAGCUUGUUGGUGGGGUAACGGCCCACCAAGGCGAUGAUAGGUAGCCGGCCUGAGAGGGUGGACGGCCACAAGGGGACUGAGAUACGGCCCUUACUCCUACGGGAGGCAGCAGUGGGGAAUAUUGGACAAUGGGGGCAACCCUGAUCCAGCAAUUCUGUGUGCACGAUGAAGGUUUUCGGAUUGUAAAGGGCUUUCAGCAGGGAAGAAAAAAAUGACGGUACCUGCAGAAGAAGCGACGGCUAAAUACGUG